Molecule: ribosomal RNA, 187 nt
Filed under: uncultured bacterium
Lineage: Bacteria
Description: partial 16S ribosomal RNA
Rfam family: Bacterial small subunit ribosomal RNA
Source: RNAcentral
GCCUUCCAUGAAGCUGGAAUUGCUGUAAUGGCAGGUCAGCAUACUGCCGUGAAUACGUUCCCGGGCCCUUGUACACACCGCCCGUCACACCAUGAGAGUUGGAAAUACCCGAAGCCUGUGAGCUAACUUAAAGAGGCAGCAGUCGAAGGUAGAGCCAAUGAUUGGGGUGAAGUCGUAACAAGGUAGC